RNAcentral lists this ribosomal RNA (273 nucleotides) under uncultured bacterium. RNAcentral describes it as "partial small subunit ribosomal RNA". It matches the Rfam family "Bacterial small subunit ribosomal RNA", at positions 26 to 285 of the family's 1533-position model. The record is from RNAcentral.
AGGACGAACGCUGGCGGCGUGCUUAACACAUGCAAGUGGUGCGACGAACCAGGGCUUGCCCUGGGGCCAAGCCGCGAACGGGUGAGUAACACGUGGGUGACCUGCCUUCGAGUGGGGGAUAACGUCCCGAAAGGGACGCUAAUACCGCAUGACAUCCUGUCCUUGGAAGGACGGAGAUCAAAGCUGGGGAUCGUAAGACCUGGCGCUUGAAGAGGGGCCCGCGCCUGAUUAGCUAGUUGGCGGGGUAACGGCUCACCAAGGCUACGAUCAGUA